GAUGAAGAACGUAGCGAAAUGCGAUAAGUAAUGCGAAUUGCAGAAUUCAGUGAGUCAUCGAAUCUUUGAACGCACAUUGCGCCCUGUGGUAUUCCGCAGGGCAUGCCUGUUCGAGCGUCAUUUCAACCCUCAAGCCUCGCUUGGUGUUGGGCCCUGCCCGCCGCGGCCGGCCCUAAAGAUAGUGGCGGCGCCGCCUGGCCCUCAGCGUAGUACAGCUCUCGCUCCAGGGUCCUGCGGCAGCCUGCCAGAACCCCCCAACUCUGUGGUUGACCUCGGAUCAGGUAGGGAUACCCGCUGAACUUAAGCAUAUCAAUAAGCGGAGGA
RNAcentral lists this unclassified non-coding RNA (324 nucleotides) under soil metagenome. Its description in RNAcentral is "partial contains 5.8S ribosomal RNA, internal transcribed spacer 2, and large subunit ribosomal RNA". The stretch from base 1 to 120 matches the Rfam family "5.8S ribosomal RNA", at positions 35 to 154 of the family's 154-position model. The record is from RNAcentral.